This 154-nucleotide ribosomal RNA is filed under the name Oryza nivara. RNAcentral's name for it is "rRNA LSU_rRNA_eukarya". It matches the Rfam family "Eukaryotic large subunit ribosomal RNA", at positions 2802 to 2984 of the family's 3401-position model. RNAcentral also lists the same sequence under 1 other name. Lineage: Eukaryota; Viridiplantae; Streptophyta; Magnoliopsida; Poales; Poaceae. The record is from RNAcentral.
GAUGUCAAAAAAGUUACCACAAUGUUGAUAGGUACGUUGUUUUUUUAUCCUUUGAUGUUGGCUCUUCCUAUCAUUUUAAAGCAAAGUUCAUCAAGUUUUGAAUUAUUCACACACCAAUAGGAAACGUGAGCUAAGCUAAGGUGUCUAGGCGAUU